UGCCAAGGUGCCGUUGCCCAACUGAUUUGCACAAUUAGCCCUUUUUUGGGCCUUUUUUUUAUAAAAAAUUAACACUUCUUGUAAUUACAAAUUUAACCCUUUGUAAAAUUUGACAUAUUGUCGUUGUUUGAUGAAGGAAAAGAAGCAUGGUCUGGUGGAAUAUAUAGAUUUGUCGAUGUUAGGGAUGUUGCUAAUGCACAUAUUCUAGCAUUUGAAGUUCCUUCAGCAAAUGGAAGAUAUUGUUUAGUUGGAGUAAAUGGAUACUCUUCUUUGGUUUUGAAGAUUGUACAAAAGCUUUACCCUUCCAUCAUUCUCCCUGAGAAUUUUGAAGAUGGAUUGCCUCUGAUCCCGACCUUCCAAGUAUCCAGUGAAAGAGCAAAAAGUUUAGGCGUCAAUUUCACAUCUCUUGAGUUGAUCGUGAAGGACACUGUUGAAAGCUUGAUAGAGAAGAACUUCCUCAAGAUUUGAACAAGCAGUAGGUGAAUGCAUUGUAACAUUGUUUCUAUUGCCAAAAAUUAGUGCUUACUGCUCUGGGAGCUGCUGGCACUGGAUUUCUCUGAUGUUAUGUCUAUUUACUUACCUGGAUUCUACUUGUUGCAUGUUGGUUCAACGAGCAUAUAGAAAGAAGAGUGAUCAAAUUUAUCUUUCCUUCUA
This is a non-coding RNA of Nicotiana tabacum (common tobacco), 654 nucleotides long. The record is from RefSeq and is a predicted model, not a curated record. Lineage: Eukaryota; Viridiplantae; Streptophyta; Magnoliopsida; Solanales; Solanaceae.